ACGAACGCUGGCGGCGUGCUUAACACCUGCAAGUCGAACGGAAAGGCUCCAGCUUGCUGGCGUACUCGCGUGGCGAACGGGUGAGUAACACGUGGGUAAUCUGCCCUGCACUCUGGGAUAAGCCUGGGAAACUGGGUCUAAUACUGGAUAUGACCUUUCUCCUUAUGGGGUUUGGUGGGAAGUUUUUCGGUGUAGGAUGAGCCCGCGGCCUAUCAGCUUGUUGGUGGGGUGAUGGCCUACCAAGGCGACGACGGGUAGCCGGCCUGAGAGGGUGAUCGGCCACAUUGGGACUGAGAUACGGCCCAGACUCCUACGGGAGGCAGCAGUGGGGAAUAUUGCACAAUGGGCGGAAGCCUGAUGCAGCGACGCCGCGUGAGGGAUGACGGCCUUCGGGUUGUAAACCUCUUUCAGCAGGGACGAAGCGUAAGUGACGGUACCUGCAGAAGAAGCACCGGCUAACUAUGUG
This 466-nucleotide ribosomal RNA is filed under the name uncultured bacterium. RNAcentral describes it as "partial 16S ribosomal RNA". It matches the Rfam family "Bacterial small subunit ribosomal RNA", at positions 29 to 507 of the family's 1533-position model. The record is from RNAcentral.